This 307-nucleotide unclassified non-coding RNA is filed under the name plant metagenome. Its description in RNAcentral is "partial contains 5.8S ribosomal RNA, internal transcribed spacer 2, and large subunit ribosomal RNA". The stretch from base 1 to 105 matches the Rfam family "5.8S ribosomal RNA", at positions 50 to 154 of the family's 154-position model. The record is from RNAcentral.
GAAAUGCGAUAAGUAGUGUGAAUUGCAGAAUUCAGUGAAUCAUCGAAUCUUUGAACGCACAUUGCGCCCUUUGGUAUUCCAAAGGGCAUGCCUGUUCGAGCGUCAUUUGUACCCUCAAGCUUUGCUUGGUGUUGGGCGUCUUGUCUCUAGCUUUGCUGGAGACUCGCCUUAAAGUAAUUGGCAGCCGGCCUACUGGUUUCGGAGCGCAGCACAAGUCGCACUCUCUAUCAGCAAAGGUCUAGAAUCCAUUAAGCCUUUUUUCAACUUUUGACCUCGGAUCAGGUAGGGAUACCCGCUGAACUUAAGC